This 522-nucleotide ribosomal RNA is filed under the name Suhomyces rongomai-pounamu. Its description in RNAcentral is "eukaryotic LSU rRNA". The stretch from base 187 to 339 matches the Rfam family "5.8S ribosomal RNA". Lineage: Eukaryota; Fungi; Ascomycota; Pichiomycetes; Serinales; Debaryomycetaceae. The record is from RNAcentral.
UAGAGGAAGUAAAAGUCGUAACAAGGUUUCCGUAGGUGAACCUGCGGAAGGAUCAUUAAAAAUAUUUAGCACCUCUGGUGUUAACUUCAACACAUUAUUGAAAACAACAGCUUUGGCGGCUUGCCGUCAAAGAUUAAACUCAACCUUUUUUAUUAUAAAUUUUGUCACAACAAAUUAUAACCUAAAAACUUUCAACAACGGAUCUCUUGGUUCUCGCAUCGAUGAAGAACGCAGCGAAAUGCGAUAAGUAAUAUGAAUUGCAGACUUUGUGAAUCAUCGAAUUUUUGAACGCACAUUGCGCCUUGUGGUAUUCCACAAGGCAUGCCUGUUUGAGCGUCAGACUCCCUCAAACCCUCGGGUUUGGCAGUGAGUGCACAAGCUCUUUAAAUUUGUCUACUCGAAAAUUAGUUUAGGAACAUCUCAUGUCUAGGAUUACCCACUCAUGAGUUGACCUUUUGAACUUUUUAAAUUUUCGACCUCAAAUCAGGUAGGACUACCCGCUGAACUUAAGCAUAUCAAUAA